Molecule: ribosomal RNA, 617 nt
Filed under: uncultured beta proteobacterium
Lineage: Bacteria; Pseudomonadati; Pseudomonadota; Betaproteobacteria
Description: bacterial SSU rRNA
Rfam family: Bacterial small subunit ribosomal RNA
Source: RNAcentral
GCUGGCGGAAUGCUUUACACAUGCAAGUCGAACGGCAGCAUAGAGAGCUUGCUCUCUGAUGGCGAGUGGCGAACGGGUGAGUAACUAUAUCGGAACGUACCUAGUAAUGGGGAACAACCAGCCGAAAGGUUGGCUAAUACCGCAUACGACCUACGGGUGAAAGCAGGGGAUCUUCGGACCUUGCGUUAUUAGAGCGGCCGAUAUCUGAUUAGGUAGUUGGUGGGGUAAAGGCCUACCAAGCCGACGAUCAGUAGCUGGUCUGAGAGGACGAUCAGCCACACUGGAACUGAGACACGGUCCAGACUCCUACGGGAGGCAGCAGUGGGGAAUUUUGGACAAUGGGGGCAACCCUGAUCCAGCCAUUCCGCGUGAGUGAAGAAGGCCUUCGGGUUGUAAAGCUCUUUCGCAAGAGAAGAAAUCUUACUAUCGAAUAAAUAGUAAGGAUGACGGUAUCUUGACAAGAAGCACCGGCUAACUACGUGCCAGCAGCCGCGGUAAUACGUAGGGUGCGAGCGUUAAUCGGAAUUACUGGGCGUAAAGCGUGCGCAGGCGGUUUUAUAAGUCAGAUGUGAAAUCCCCGAGCUCAACUUGGGAACUGCGUUUGAAACUGUAAGACU